RNAcentral lists this ribosomal RNA (495 nucleotides) under uncultured bacterium. Its description in RNAcentral is "partial 16S ribosomal RNA". It matches the Rfam family "Bacterial small subunit ribosomal RNA", at positions 28 to 507 of the family's 1533-position model. The record is from RNAcentral.
GACGAACGCUGGCGGCGUGCCUAAUACAUGCAAGUAGAACGCUGAAGGAGGAGCUUGCUCUUCUGGAUGAGUUGCGAGCGGGUGAGUAACGCGUAGGUAACCUGCCUGGUAGCGGGGGAUAACUAUUGGAAACGAUAGCUAAUACCGCAUAAUAGUAGAUGUUGCAUGAUAUUUACUUAAAAGGUGCAAUUGCACCACUACCAGAUGGACCUGCGUUGUAUUAGCUAGUUGGUGGGGUAACGGCUCACCAAGGCGACGAUACAUAGCCGACCUGAGAGGGUGAUCGGCCACACUGGGACUGGGACACGGCCCAGACUCCUACGGGAGGCAGCAGUAGGGAAUCUUCGGCAAUGGACGAAAGUCUGACCGAGCAACGCCGCGUGAGUGAAGAAGGUUUUCGGAUCGUAAAGCUCUGUUGUAAGAGAAGAACGAGUGUGAGAGUGGAAAGUUCACACUGUGACGGUAUCUUACCAGAAAGGGACGGCUAACUACGUG